CACGUAGGGCGCAAGCGUUGUCCGGAAUUAUUGGGCGUAAAGAGCUCGUAGGCGGUCUGUUACGUCGGCUGUGAAAACCCGGGGCUCAACUCCGGGCCUGCAGCCGAUACGGGCAGACUAGAGUUCGGCAGGGGAGACUGGAAUUCCUGGUGUAGCGGUGAAAUGCGCAGAUAUCAGGAGGAACACCGGUGGCGAAGGCGGGUCUCUGGGCCGAUACUGACGCUGAGGAGCGAAAGCGUGGGGAGCGAACAGG
RNAcentral lists this ribosomal RNA (253 nucleotides) under uncultured bacterium. RNAcentral's name for it is "partial 16S ribosomal RNA". It matches the Rfam family "Bacterial small subunit ribosomal RNA", at positions 524 to 776 of the family's 1533-position model. The record is from RNAcentral.